CCUACGGGGGGCAGCAGUGGGGGAUAUUGCACAAUGGGGGGAACCCUGAUGCAGCGACGCCGCGUGGGUGAAGAAGCGCCUCGGCGCGUAAAGCCCUGUCAGCAGGGAAGAAAAUGACGGUACCUGACGAAGAAGCCCCGGCUAACUACGUGCCAGCAGCCGCGGUAAUACGGAGGGGGCAAGCGUUAACCGGAUUUACUGGGUGUAAAGGGGGCGCAGACGGCGAUGCAAGCCAGGAGUGAAAGCCCGGGGCCCAACCCCGGGACUGCUCUUGGAACUGCGAGGCUGGAGUGCAGGAGGGGCAGGCGGAAUUCCUGGUGUAGCGGUGAAAUGCGUAGAUAUCAGGAGGAACACCGGUGGCGAAGGCGGCCUGCUGGACUGCAACUGACGUUGAGGCCCGAAAGCGUGGGGAGCAAACAGGAUUAGAUACCCCUGUAGUC
This 440-nucleotide ribosomal RNA is filed under the name uncultured bacterium. RNAcentral's name for it is "partial 16S ribosomal RNA". It matches the Rfam family "Bacterial small subunit ribosomal RNA", at positions 338 to 795 of the family's 1533-position model. The record is from RNAcentral.